CCGGGGGAGGGCGGGGCCUGGCGGGGCGGGGCCGCACCUGGGGCGGGCGGGGGCGCGCAGUGCGGCGGCGGCGGCCAUGGCGGGAGCGGCGCGGCGGGGCGGCCCCGGGCCCCGGCCCCGGGUCCUGCUGCUGCUGUUGCUGCUCGGGGUGGCGGCCGCCUCCGCGAUGGGAGCCCAGGUCACCUCCGAGGACAAACAAGUGCCUGAAAACACCCCCACCGACAUCCCCUGCUUGGCGUAUCGCUCCGGCUGGAACAACCCCCGCAUCGAGUGGAAAUUCCAGAAGGGCUCCUCGCUCGUCCUCUUCUACUACGGGGGACAGCUGACAGAUCCCUACAAGGACCGGGUCCGGUUUUCCCCCACCAGCAUCCACUUCGGCACGGUGACGCGGGAGGACACGGGGAAGUACAUCUGCGAGGUGGUGGGGGACGGCAGCCAGAUCGCCAAGUCCGAGGUCAACCUCAUCGUCCAAGUCCCCCCCUCGAAGCCGCUGGCCCACGUCCCCACCUCGGCCACCAUCGGCAGCAAGACCGUGCUGCGCUGCACCGAGACGGACGGCUCGCCGCCCCCCACCUUCCUCUGGUACCGCGACAGCAUGUUGAUGCCCGCCGACCCCAAAACCAGCCCCACCUUCCGAAAUUCCUCCUACACCCUGGACUCCGCCACGGGGGAACUGAUCUUCGAGCCCCUCAGCAGCUUCGACACCGGCGACUACUACUGCGAGGCCACCAACAACGUGGGCGCCCCCCAGAAAUCGGACGUUUUCCGCAUGGAAGCCAGCGAAGUCAACGUCGGCGGCAUCGUGGCCGCCGUCGUGGUGCUGCUGAUGGUGCUGGGGCUCGCGGCCUUCGGCGUCUGGUUUGCCUACAGCCGGGGAUUCUUCAGCAAGAGAAAAGAGUAAGUGAAGCCGUGACGCUGCUGCCUCCCUCCCGGCGGCCUCCUCUUCCUCCGCCGGUGGGGACGGGUGGUCUCUUCCCCCGCCACCGCCAACAACGGGCUGGGAAGGUGCCUGGAGUGUCACCGGGCGCUCAGGGUGGGGGACAAGGUUGACGGGGCUGGGGGUGAUGGUGGUGGUGGUGGUUGGGGGGGGGUGGGGGGGAGAACUCCGGGCAACGUGACGUCUCUCCCGAUGUUCCCGCUUUCCGCAGCGCCGCCGGCAAGAAGGUGAUUUACAGCCAGCCCUCGCACCGCAGCGAAGGAGAGUUCAAGCAGACGUCCUCCUUCCUGGUGUGAAGCUCCGGCCGUGCCACCGGCUCCUGUAAAUGUUCCCCAAUUACUGUAGCUACGCCGUGAUUUUUAAUUGUUAUUUUUUUGGUUUUUUGGGGUUUUUUUAAGUAUCACCCGGUGCCUUUGCAGUCA
This is an RNA transcript of Chroicocephalus ridibundus (black-headed gull), 1359 nucleotides long. It is a transcript of the gene named F11 receptor, with no coding region annotated. NCBI's taxonomy places the organism in Eukaryota, Metazoa, Chordata, Aves, Charadriiformes, Laridae. The record is from RefSeq and is a predicted model, not a curated record. The transcript has 9 exons.